This 431-nucleotide unclassified non-coding RNA is filed under the name soil metagenome. Its description in RNAcentral is "partial contains 5.8S ribosomal RNA, internal transcribed spacer 2, and large subunit ribosomal RNA". The stretch from base 1 to 120 matches the Rfam family "5.8S ribosomal RNA", at positions 35 to 154 of the family's 154-position model. The record is from RNAcentral.
GAUGAAGAACGUAGCGAAAUGCGAUACGUAAUGUGAAUUGCAGAAUUCAGUGAAUCAUCGAAUCUUUGAACGCACAUUGCACUCUCUGGUAUUCCGGAGAGUAUGCUUGUUUGAGUAUCUGUAAACAUCUCAAAUCUCUCUUCAAUUGCUUCAAUUGGGUCGAGAGAAUUGGAUUUGAGCGAUCCCGACUCCUUCGUCAGAAAGAGGAGGGUCGCUUGAAAUGCAGGUGCAGCUGGACAUUCUUCUGAGCAAAAAGCAUAUCUAUUUAGUCCCGUCAAACGGAUUAUUACUUUUGCUUCAGCUAAUAUAAAGGUUGAAUGAACUACCAACGCUGAUUGCAGGAAAACAUGUUCGUUUAUUCGGACUUGUAACCUCGAUCUCAAAUCAAGUAAGACUACCCGCUGAACUUAAGCAUAUCAAUAAGCGGAGGA